CCUACGGGUGGCAGCAGUGAGGAAUAUUGGUCAAUGGACGCAAGUCUGAACCAGCCAAGUAGCGUGCAGGAUGACGGCCCUCCGGGUUGUAAACUGCUUUUAGUUGGGAAUAAAAGUGGGCUCGUGAGCCCCGUAUUGUAUGUACCAUCAGAAAAAGGACCGGCUAAUUCCGUGCCAGCAGCCGCGGUAAUACGGAGGGUCCGGGCGUUAUCCGGAUUUAUUGGGUUUAAAGGGAGCGUAGGCCGGCUUUUAAGUCAGCUGUGAAAGUCCGGGGCUCAACCGUGGAAUUGCAGUUGAUACUGGAGGGCUUGAGUGCAUUAAGGGAUGCUGGAAUUCAUGGUGUAGCGGUGAAAUGCGUAGAGAUCAUGAAGAACUCCGAUCGCGAAGGCAAGUGUCUGGGGUGGAACUGACGCUGAGGCUCGAAAGUGCGGGUAUCAAACAGGAUUAGAUACCCGGGUAGUC
This 462-nucleotide ribosomal RNA is filed under the name uncultured bacterium. Its description in RNAcentral is "partial 16S ribosomal RNA". It matches the Rfam family "Bacterial small subunit ribosomal RNA", at positions 338 to 795 of the family's 1533-position model. The record is from RNAcentral.